Molecule: long non-coding RNA, 453 nt
Organism: Fundulus heteroclitus (mummichog)
Lineage: Eukaryota; Metazoa; Chordata; Actinopteri; Cyprinodontiformes; Fundulidae
Exons: 4
Source: RefSeq, a predicted model, not a curated record
ACAGAACAGCCGAAAGCAACGUUGAGAUCUCUGGCCUCGUAUUGCACAGAUUCCUGCCCUGGACUCUGGAUUACCAGCUGCAAAUGGAUAUAAUGAACACCAGCAUACGGUGUCACAGCCAGGUGAUUCAUCAUAACAUUCAAACAUGUUUUCAUCUGUUUCAUCCGAUCACUUAAAGCUCUGUGAAUAAAAAGCAUCUCUGCCUCAAGCUAAAAUGGAAAAGUACCGAAUAGAGGAGCCGUAAAGGUCAUUUGAAGGUUCUGAAAUGCAGAUUUCUCAGCUCCUCCUGAUCAGACCAGCUGACAAGUUUUUCUUGCUUGUUGCAGCUAAAUUGAGCCCAUGUGAAGAUUCUGACAUGGAGCCCUGCCUCAGCCGCAGCAUUUAUCGAUGUUUGUGUGUCGACUGUCGCCGAUAAAAGGGCGAUAUGUUGGCAGAUCGACCAACAGGAUGUGG